Macaca mulatta (Rhesus monkey) is the source of this 742-nucleotide long non-coding RNA. RefSeq lists it as uncharacterized. The record is from RefSeq and is a predicted model, not a curated record. Lineage: Eukaryota; Metazoa; Chordata; Mammalia; Primates; Cercopithecidae.
CGGUCUUCACACUCCAUCCAAAAUGGGGAUAAUGAAGUCUCACGGAUUCGGCUUCAGCUGAGAGCUGCCUCCAGCACAGUCUUGUGUAAAUCAAUAUCCAUAUGUGAUUUUAAGCAGCUCAAGCAUCAGCUCUUAAAAACCACCAGAAAUGCUGGGGGCAAAUUCCACCGAGCAGCAAAUAACGGAACUGCAUCCAACAACCCAGCACAGGCAGAGCCUCCAUCAUUCUCCUGCCCCCACCGGAGCAGCACACUUCUGUAUGACUGACAGACCCGCAUCAACGCGGCACCACCACCCAGAGUCCACAGCUCACACGAGGGCUCGGCCUGCUGCUGCUCACUCUGUGGGUUUCACAGACAUGGAACGGCAUGGAUUCCCCAUGAAAGCCCCAUCCGGAGUUGCUUCCCCACCCUACACAUCCCCCUAUGCUCCUCCCAUUCAUCCCUCCCUUUCCCAACCCCUGGCAGCUGCUGACCGUUUUUACUGUCUCCACAGCUUUGCCUUUUCCCGACUGCCCAGCGGCUGGACUCACACAGCAGGCAGCCUUUCCAGAUUGGAGACUCACUUAGCAACAUGCGUUUAAGAUCCGUGUCUUUUCAUGGCUUAGUGGUCCAGUUCUUUUUUGUACUGAAUAGUAUCCCAGUUUCUGACCUAACACAGUUUAUCCGUUCACCUACUGAAGUGCAUCUUGGUUGCUUUCUAGUUUUGGCAAUUGUAAAUAAAGCUAUAAAGCUGCUGUCAA